ACAAAAGUAUAUUUCAUGGAAUUUUUGCUUUCACAGGCCCUACACUGUCACAGGCGGUGGCGGAGGAGGAGGACCAGGACUCUAUGUCCAUCACCUCACUGCACCCAUUAAGCCCUACACUGGAACAGGCCACGGAGGAGGAGGAGGAUGAUGAUGAUGAUGAUGCUGCUGCAUUUAGUGACGACGAGCCAGAAUACAUUUUUGUCCGUCGCCAACCAGUGGAGGAGACACCUGUGCCAAUGAUUUAUGGGGGCCCCAGACAGGGGCAAGAUAGGUGGGCUGGCCA
This is a long non-coding RNA of Pseudophryne corroboree (corroboree frog), 286 nucleotides long. RefSeq lists it as uncharacterized. The transcript is spliced from 5 exons. The record is from RefSeq and is a predicted model, not a curated record. Lineage: Eukaryota; Metazoa; Chordata; Amphibia; Anura; Myobatrachidae.